This 402-nucleotide unclassified non-coding RNA is filed under the name soil metagenome. RNAcentral describes it as "partial contains 5.8S ribosomal RNA, internal transcribed spacer 2, and large subunit ribosomal RNA". The stretch from base 1 to 121 matches the Rfam family "5.8S ribosomal RNA", at positions 35 to 154 of the family's 154-position model. The record is from RNAcentral.
GAUGAAGAACUUAGCGAAAUGCGAUAAGUAAUGUGAAUUGCAGAAUUCAGUGAAUCAUCGAAUCUUUGAACGCACCUUGCGCCCUUUGGCUAUUCCGAAGGGCAUGCCUGUUUGAGUAUCAUGAACACCUCAACUCUCAUGGUUCGCCAUGAUGAGCUUGGACUCUGGGGGUCUUGCUGGCCUAUGGUCAGCUCCUCUCAAAUAAAUCAGCUUGCCAGUGUUUGGUGGCAUCACAGGUGUGAUAACUAUCUACGCUUGUGGUUUUCCAUCAGGUAACCUUCAGUGAUGGAGGUUCGCUGGAGCUCAUAAAUGUCCCUCCUCAGCGAGGACAGCUUUUUGAACGUUUGAUCUCAAAUCAGGUAGGACUACCCGCUGAACUUAAGCAUAUCAAUAAGCGGAGGA